This 386-nucleotide ribosomal RNA is filed under the name marine copepod environmental sample. Its description in RNAcentral is "SSU rRNA". It matches the Rfam family "Eukaryotic small subunit ribosomal RNA", at positions 587 to 972 of the family's 1831-position model. The record is from RNAcentral. Lineage: Eukaryota; Metazoa; Arthropoda; Copepoda.
AGCUCCAAUAGCGUAUAUUAAAGUUGUUGCGGUUAAAAAGCUCGUAGUUGGAUCUCGGCGGGCAGGGGGUGGUUCGCUCUUCAGCGCUACUGCCCCGCUUUGCCCGUGUGAUUGGCGGGGGUUUCGGGGUGCUCUUCGUUGAGUGACUCGGAGCGCCGUCAGGUUUACUUUGAAAAAAUUAGAGUGCUCAAAGCAGGCUUUUCACGCUUGAAUAUUCGUGCAUGGAAUAAUGGAAUAGGAACUCGUUUCUAUUUUGUUGGUUUUCGGAAAUCGAGUUAAUGAUUAACAGGGACAAUUGGGGGCAUUAGUAUUCAGACGACAGAGGUGAAAUUCUUGGACCGUUUGAAGACGAACUAAGGCGAAAGCAUUUGCCAAGAAUGUUUUCA